Molecule: long non-coding RNA, 1104 nt
Organism: Sitophilus oryzae (rice weevil)
Lineage: Eukaryota; Metazoa; Arthropoda; Insecta; Coleoptera; Curculionidae
Exons: 3
Source: RefSeq, a predicted model, not a curated record
UUUAGUCGCAUCAUAUGUAUUGACGGCACCCAUGGAACAAACAGGAAAAAUUUUGAUUUAACUGUUAUUUUAAUUAAGGAUGAAAAUAAUUUAGGAUUUCCAGUGGCAUUAUUGCUUUCCAACAGGUUGGAUCAGAUAAUUCAAGAAGUUUUUUUUAGGGCUCUUUUAACAAAAUUCGGUAAACCAAUUGAUGCAGAAUAUAUUAUGAGCGACGAUGACCCGAAAUAUUAUAAUGCUUGGACCAAAGUGAUGAGUACUAAUACAACAUCUAGAAGACUCCUUUGUACAUGACACAUUAUUAAAAAUUGGAAUAUUCAGGGAAAGGCAAAAAUUAAAAACAUUGAAUUAAAGAAAAACAUGAAAAUGGAAAUGCGAAAAAUAUUAACAGAAGCUGAUGUAGCAAAAUUUAAGGACCACAAGGAUAAGUAUUUUAAACAUUUGGAAGAAGAAGAAGAAGUUGAUUUCCUAAAAUAUUUGAACAGCUAUUAUUUCAAGAGUGAGGAAAGAAUUAUGAUGUGGGCUCAUUGUCAAUAAUGAAUAAAUACCAAUAUGGCAAUUGAGAGCCUAAAUAAACUUUUGAAGUACAAUAAAAUGAAUGGACAACGUAAUCUCAGGGUAGAGAAGUUAUUAGAUUUGUUAGAAGAAAUUGUUGACGACAAGAUGUGGAAGAAGAUUAUAGAUACAGAAAGACCAAAUGCCAAUAGCUACAAUCACAGAAUAACUGUUGAAUCUCACAAAAAAAGCAGAGGAAAUGACAGAAAAGGUUGAACUAUCUGACGUUGGAUUUAGAGUUCAAUCUUGUUCUGUAAAAGAUAAGUAUUACCUUGUUUCAUACAGUGAACUAUGUAAUGUUGAUUGUAGAACUGGGUAUUGUAAUGCGUGUAAGAUAUGUUUACAUAGAUACAUGUGCCAAUGCCCUCAAAAUUCUGUAAAAAAUGUACUAUGUAAACAUAUACAUGCAGUUGCCUUGUAUGAGGAGAGAAGCGAGUCUGUUUUAGGUUCUCCAUCUUCUGAUACUAAUAAUUUAAAUAUUGACGAGCUGACAACAAGCAAAUUGCGUUACAAGGAUGAUUUAGAGCAUUUCAUUAAAGAGAGUAUACCCAA